This 109-nucleotide microRNA precursor is filed under the name Mustela putorius furo (domestic ferret). Its description in RNAcentral is "miRNA (ENSMPUG00000022468.1)". Lineage: Eukaryota; Metazoa; Chordata; Mammalia; Carnivora; Mustelidae. The record is from RNAcentral.
CUUUCCUCUUCCUUUUCCUCUUCCUCUCCCUCUUCCUCCUCACUGUCAACAGUCAACUUGAUCCUUUUUGCAUGUGAUCCUGUUUCACAUGGCAGUGAGCAUGGUGCUG